RNAcentral lists this ribosomal RNA (2928 nucleotides) under Bacillus anthracis (anthrax bacterium). Its description in RNAcentral is "bacterial LSU rRNA". It matches the Rfam family "Bacterial large subunit ribosomal RNA". The record is from RNAcentral. Lineage: Bacteria; Bacillati; Bacillota; Bacilli; Caryophanales; Bacillaceae.
UUUGGUUAAGUUAGAAAGGGCGCACGGUGGAUGCCUUGACACUAGGAGUCGAUGAAGGACGGGACUAACGCCGAUAUGCUUCGGGGAGCUGUAAGUAAGCUUUGAUCCGAAGAUUUCCGAAUGGGGAAACCCACCAUACGUAAUGGUAUGGUAUCCUUAUCUGAAUACAUAGGGUAAGGAAGACAGACCCAGGGAACUGAAACAUCUAAGUACCUGGAGGAAGAGAAAGCAAAUGCGAUUUCCUGAGUAGCGGCGAGCGAAACGGAACAUAGCCCAAACCAAGAGGCUUGCCUCUUGGGGUUGUAGGACAUUCUAUACGGAGUUACAAAGGAACGAGGUAGACGAAGCGACCUGGAAAGGUCCGUCGUAGAGGGUAACAACCCCGUAGUCGAAACUUCGUUCUCUCUUGAAUGUAUCCUGAGUACGGCGGAACACGUGAAAUUCCGUCGGAAUCUGGGAGGACCAUCUCCCAAGGCUAAAUACUCCCUAGUGAUCGAUAGUGAACCAGUACCGUGAGGGAAAGGUGAAAAGCACCCCGGAAGGGGAGUGAAAGAGAUCCUGAAACCGUGUGCCUACAAAUAGUCAGAGCCCGUUAACGGGUGAUGGCGUGCCUUUUGUAGAAUGAACCGGCGAGUUACGAUCCCGUGCGAGGUUAAGCUGAAGAGGCGGAGCCGCAGCGAAAGCGAGUCUGAAUAGGGCGUUUAGUACGUGGUCGUAGACCCGAAACCAGGUGAUCUACCCAUGUCCAGGGUGAAGUUCAGGUAACACUGAAUGGAGGCCCGAACCCACGCACGUUGAAAAGUGCGGGGAUGAGGUGUGGGUAGCGGAGAAAUUCCAAUCGAACCUGGAGAUAGCUGGUUCUCCCCGAAAUAGCUUUAGGGCUAGCCUUAAGUGUAAGAGUCUUGGAGGUAGAGCACUGAUUGGACUAGGGGUCCUCAUCGGAUUACCGAAUUCAGUCAAACUCCGAAUGCCAAUGACUUAUCCUUAGGAGUCAGACUGCGAGUGAUAAGAUCCGUAGUCAAAAGGGAAACAGCCCAGACCGCCAGCUAAGGUCCCAAAGUGUGUAUUAAGUGGAAAAGGAUGUGGAGUUGCUUAGACAACUAGGAUGUUGGCUUAGAAGCAGCCACCAUUUAAAGAGUGCGUAAUAGCUCACUAGUCGAGUGACUCUGCGCCGAAAAUGUACCGGGGCUAAAUACACCACCGAAGCUGCGGAUUGAUACCAAUGGUAUCAGUGGUAGGGGAGCGUUCUAAGGACAGUGAAGUCAGACCGGAAGGACUGGUGGAGUGCUUAGAAGUGAGAAUGCCGGUAUGAGUAGCGAAAGACGGGUGAGAAUCCCGUCCACCGAAUGCCUAAGGUUUCCUGAGGAAGGCUCGUCCGCUCAGGGUUAGUCAGGACCUAAGCCGAGGCCGACAGGCGUAGGCGAUGGACAACAGGUUGAUAUUCCUGUACCACCUCUUUAUCGUUUGAGCAAUGGAGGGACGCAGAAGGAUAGAAGAAGCGUGCGAUUGGUUGUGCACGUCCAAGCAGUUAGGCUGAUAAGUAGGCAAAUCCGCUUAUCGUGAAGGCUGAGCUGUGAUGGGGAAGCUCCUUAUGGAGCGAAGUCUUUGAUUCCCCGCUGCCAAGAAAAGCUUCUAGCGAGAUAAAAGGUGCCUGUACCGCAAACCGACACAGGUAGGCGAGGAGAGAAUCCUAAGGUGUGCGAGAGAACUCUGGUUAAGGAACUCGGCAAAAUGACCCCGUAACUUCGGGAGAAGGGGUGCUUUCUUAACGGAAAGCCGCAGUGAAUAGGCCCAAGCGACUGUUUAGCAAAAACACAGCUCUCUGCGAAGCCGUAAGGCGAAGUAUAGGGGUGACACCUGCCCGGUGCUGGAAGGUUAAGGAGAGGGGUUAGCGUAAGCGAAGCUCUGAACUGAAGCCCCAGUAAACGGCGGCCGUAACUAUAACGGUCCUAAGGUAGCGAAAUUCCUUGUCGGGUAAGUUCCGACCCGCACGAAAGGUGUAACGAUUUGGGCACUGUCUCAACCAGAGACUCGGUGAAAUUAUAGUACCUGUGAAGAUGCAGGUUACCCGCGACAGGACGGAAAGACCCCGUGGAGCUUUACUGUAGCCUGAUAUUGAAUUUUGGUACAGUUUGUACAGGAUAGGCGGGAGCCUUUGAAACCGGAGCGCUAGCUUCGGUGGAGGCGCUGGUGGGAUACCGCCCUGACUGUAUUGAAAUUCUAACCUACGGGUCUUAUCGACCCGGGAGACAGUGUCAGGUGGGCAGUUUGACUGGGGCGGUCGCCUCCUAAAGUGUAACGGAGGCGCCCAAAGGUUCCCUCAGAAUGGUUGGAAAUCAUUCGUAGAGUGCAAAGGCAUAAGGGAGCUUGACUGCGAGACCUACAAGUCGAGCAGGGACGAAAGUCGGGCUUAGUGAUCCGGUGGUUCCGCAUGGAAGGGCCAUCGCUCAACGGAUAAAAGCUACCCCGGGGAUAACAGGCUUAUCUCCCCCAAGAGUCCACAUCGACGGGGAGGUUUGGCACCUCGAUGUCGGCUCAUCGCAUCCUGGGGCUGUAGUCGGUCCCAAGGGUUGGGCUGUUCGCCCAUUAAAGCGGUACGCGAGCUGGGUUCAGAACGUCGUGAGACAGUUCGGUCCCUAUCCGUCGUGGGCGUAGGAAAUUUGAGAGGAGCUGUCCUUAGUACGAGAGGACCGGGAUGGACGCACCGCUGGUGUACCAGUUGUUCUGCCAAGGGCAUAGCUGGGUAGCUAUGUGCGGAAGGGAUAAGUGCUGAAAGCAUCUAAGCAUGAAGCCCCCCUCAAGAUGAGAUUUCCCAUAGCGUAAGCUAGUAAGAUCCCUGAAAGAUGAUCAGGUUGAUAGGUUCGAGGUGGAAGCAUGGUGACAUGUGGAGCUGACGAAUACUAAUAGAUCGAGGACUUAACCAUAUAA